This 562-nucleotide ribosomal RNA is filed under the name uncultured bacterium. Its description in RNAcentral is "bacterial SSU rRNA". It matches the Rfam family "Bacterial small subunit ribosomal RNA", at positions 339 to 916 of the family's 1533-position model. The record is from RNAcentral.
CUACGGGAGGCAGCAGUGGGGAAUCUUGCGCAAUGGGCGAAAGCCUGACGCAGCAACGCCGCGUGCGGGAAGAAGGCCUUAGGGUUGUAAACCGCUUUCAGUAGGAACGAAAAUGACGGUACCUGCAGAAGAAGGUGCGGCCAACUACGUGCCAGCAGCCGCGGUGACACGUAGGCACCAAGCGUUGUCCGGAUUUAUUGGGCGUAAAGAGCUCGUAGGCGGUUCAGUAAGUCGGGUGUGAAAACUCUGGGCUUAACCCAGAGCCGCCACUCGAUACUGCUGUGACUUGAGUUCGGUAGGGGAGCAGGGAAUUCCUAGUGUAGCGGUGAAAUGCGCAGACAUUAGGAGGAACACCGGUGGCGAAGGCGCUGCUCUGGGCCGAUACUGACGCUGAGGAGCGAAAGCGUGGGUAGCAAACAGGAUUAGAUACCCUGGUAGUCCACGCCGUAAACGUUGGGCACUAGGUGUGGGUUCCAACCAACGGAAUCCGCGCCGUCGCUAACGCAUUAAGUGCCCCGCUGGGGAGUACGGCGGCAACGCUAAAACNCAAAUGAAUUGACGG